AUACGUAGGGGGCGAGCGUUGUCCGGAAUGAUUGGGCGUAAAGGGCGCGUAGGCGGCUUUGCAAGUCAGUAGUGGAAGUCCAUUUUUCAAGGAUGGAAGUGCUACAGAAACUGCGGAGCUUGAGUGCAGGAGAGGUUAUCGGAAUUCCCGGUGUAGCGGUGAAAUGCGUAGAGAUCGGGAGGAACACCAGUGGCGAAGGCGGGUAACUGGACUGCAACUGACGCUGAGGCGCGAAAGUGUGGGAAGCAAACAGGAUUAGAUACCCUGGUAGUCCACACUGUAAACGAUGAAUGCUAGGUGCAGGAGGUAUCGACCCCUUCUGUGCCGCAGUAAACACAGUAAGCAUUCCGCCUGGGGAGUACGGUCGCAAGAUUAAAACUCAAAUGAAUUGACGGGG
This 397-nucleotide ribosomal RNA is filed under the name uncultured bacterium. RNAcentral's name for it is "partial 16S ribosomal RNA". It matches the Rfam family "Bacterial small subunit ribosomal RNA", at positions 523 to 918 of the family's 1533-position model. The record is from RNAcentral.